Molecule: ribosomal RNA, 691 nt
Filed under: uncultured bacterium
Lineage: Bacteria
Description: bacterial SSU rRNA
Rfam family: Bacterial small subunit ribosomal RNA
Source: RNAcentral
UAGCCCAGAGAAAUUUGGAUUAAUACCUUAUAGUAUCUUAAAUCAGCAUUGAUUAAAGAUUAAAGAUUUAUCGCUAUAAGAUGGCUAUGCGUUCUAUUAGCUAGUUGGUAUGGUAACGGCAUACCAAGGCGACGAUAGAUAGGGGUCCUGAGAGGGAGAUCCCCCACACUGGUACUGAGACACGGACCAGACUCCUACGGGAGGCAGCAGUGAGGAAUAUUGGACAAUGGAGGCAACUCUGAUCCAGCCAUGCCGCGUGUAGGAAGACUGCCCUAUGGGUUGUAAACUACUUUUAUAGAGGAAGAAACCGCUCGACGUGUCGACUCUGACGGUACUCUACGAAUAAGGAUCGGCUAACUCCGUGCCAGCAGCCGCGGUAAUACGGAGGAUCCAAGCGUUAUCCGGAAUCAUUGGGUUUAAAGGGUCCGUAGCGGGUUUGUAAGUCAGUGGUGAAAGUUUUCGGCUCAACCGGAAAAUUGCCAUUGAUACUGCAAGUCUUGAAUCAUUAUGAAGUGGUUAGAAUAAGUAGUGUAGCGGUGAAAUGCAUAGAUAUUACUUAGAAUACCGAUUGCGAAGCAGAUCACUAAUAAUGUAUUGACGCUAAGGGGACGAAAGCGUGGGUAGCGAACAGGAUUAGAUACCCUGGUAGUCCACGCCGUAAACGAUGGUUACUAGCUGUUCGGUUUUCGGG